RNAcentral lists this ribosomal RNA (254 nucleotides) under uncultured bacterium. RNAcentral's name for it is "partial 16S ribosomal RNA". It matches the Rfam family "Bacterial small subunit ribosomal RNA", at positions 524 to 776 of the family's 1533-position model. The record is from RNAcentral.
UACAGAGGUCUCAAGCGUUGUUCGGAUUCAUUGGGCGUAAAGGGUGCGUAGGCGGCGCGGUAAGUCGGGUGUGAAAUCUCGGAGCUUAACUCCGAAACUGCAUUCGAUACUGCCGUGCUUGAGUACGGGAGAGGUGAGUGGAACUCCGAGUGUAGAGGUGAAAUUCGUAGAUAUUCGGAAGAACACCAGUGGCGAAGGCGACUCACUGGCCCGUUACUGACGCUGAGGCACGGAAAGCGUGGGGAGCAAACAGG